UCCGGCUUAUCACCGGCAGUCCCCUUAGAGUGCCCAACUGAAUGGUGGCAACUAAGGGCGAGGGUUGCGCUCGUUGCGGGACUUAACCCAACAUCUCACGACACGAGCUGACGACAGCCAUGCAGCACCUGUGUUCCCGCCAGCCGAACUGAAGGAAUCCAUCUCUGGAAACCGCGACCGGGAUGUCAAGGGCUGGUAAGGUUCUGCGCGUUGCUUCGAAUUAAACCACAUGCACCACCGCUUGUGCGGGCCCCCGUCAAUUCCUUUGAGUUUCAGCCUUGCGGCCGUACUCCCCAGGCGGGGAACUUAAUGCGUUAGCUUCGGCACGGACGGAGUCGACACCGCCCACACCUAGUUCCCAUCGUUUACGGCGUGGACUAC
RNAcentral lists this unclassified non-coding RNA (381 nucleotides) under uncultured bacterium. RNAcentral's name for it is "contains 16S-23S intergenic spacer region". The record is from RNAcentral.